GUAGGUGAACCUACGGAAGGAUCAUUG
Molecule: ribosomal RNA, 27 nt
Filed under: Quercus cerris (Turkey oak)
Lineage: Eukaryota; Viridiplantae; Streptophyta; Magnoliopsida; Fagales; Fagaceae
Description: partial 18S ribosomal RNA
Source: RNAcentral